UAGGGAAUCUUCCGCAAUGGACGCAAGUCUGACGGAGCAACUCCGCGUGAGUGAAGAAGGAUUUCGGUUCGUAAAACUCUGUUGUUAGAGAAGAACAGCGCAUAGAGUAACUGUUAUGCGUGUGACGGUAUCUAACCAGAAAGCCACGGCUAACUACGUGCCAGCAGCCGCGGUAAUACGUAGGUGGCAAGCGUUGUCCGGAUUUAUUGGGCGUAAAGCGAGCGCAGGCGGUCAAUUAAGUCUGAUGUGAAAGCCCCCGGCUCAACCGGGGAGGGUCAUUGGAAACUGGUUGACUUGAGUGCAGAAGAGGAGAGUGGAAUUCCAUGUGUAGCGGUGAAAUGCGUAGAUAUAUGGAGGAACACCAGUGGCGAAGGCGACGCUCUGGUCUGUAACUGACGCUGAGGCUCGAAAGCGUGGGUAGCAAACAGG
This 429-nucleotide ribosomal RNA is filed under the name Bacteroidota bacterium. Its description in RNAcentral is "Bacteroidetes bacterium partial 16S ribosomal RNA". It matches the Rfam family "Bacterial small subunit ribosomal RNA", at positions 355 to 776 of the family's 1533-position model. Lineage: Bacteria; Pseudomonadati; Bacteroidota. The record is from RNAcentral.